RNAcentral lists this ribosomal RNA (512 nucleotides) under uncultured microorganism. Its description in RNAcentral is "bacterial SSU rRNA". It matches the Rfam family "Bacterial small subunit ribosomal RNA", at positions 9 to 524 of the family's 1533-position model. The record is from RNAcentral.
GAGUUUGAUCGUGGCUCAGGACGAACGCUGGCGGCGUGCUUAACACAUGCAAGUCGAACGAGAAUCUACUGAAAGAGUUUUCGGACAAUGGAAGUAGAGGAAAGUGGCGGACGGGUGAGUAACGCGUGAGGAACCUGCCUUGAAGAGGGGACAACAGUUGGAAACGACUGCUAAUACCGCAUGAUGCAUAAGGGUCGCAUGAUUCUUAUGCCAAAGAUUUAUCGCUUCAAGAUGGCCUCGCGUCUGAUUAGCUAGUUGGCGGGGUAACGGCCCACCAAGGCGACGAUCAGUAGCCGGACUGAGAGGUUGAACGGCCACAUUGGGACUGAGAUACGGCCCUGACUCCUACGGGAGGCAGCAGUGGGGAAUAUUGGGCAAUGGGCGCAAGCCUGACCCAGCAACGCCGCGUGAAGGAAGAAGGCUUUCGGUAUGUAAACUUCUAUCAGCAGGGAAGAAAAUGACGGUACCUGACUAAGAAGCCCGGCUAACUACGUGCCAGCCGCCGCGGUAAU